CUGAACAAUGGCUUGGACUCAAAUGCAGACAGACUCAGUUGGCAAGUUCAAAAAUCAGUCCUUUAAUCACAGCUGGGUCAGUACACAGGUGAUCAGUCAGCAAAACAAAAUAUCCAAAUCAGUAGGCUAAAGAACGCUGGAGCGCUGUCACACAGGAAACAAGACGAACUGGCACAGAAGGAAGGGAACACUGAGACUAUAUACUCUGGUGGAGAGGAGACAAUGAGACACAGGUGCAACACAUCAGGGCAGGGCAGGUAAUCACACAAGAGGGAGACACACGAGGGCAGGAAGUUAAGGACCUGAAACGAGACAAGAGAAGAGGAGAACUCAGUGAGCUUCAUAAUCAGCUGCUGUCUUAGUUCUUCAAGGGAGCAUCUCGUCACUGGCCCAGGAGAGCAGCCAUCAGUCACUUCCAAUGCUGCGUUCAAGAUCCGCUCUGUCAGUUACAGGCUACCCUGCCGUCCUAGAUGAAGUGAUCGCCAGAGCCGGACGUCACGCUGCACCUGCUGUUUUCUCCUCUCUGCCAGGGGGUAUCAGUGGGGGUUUAUCCGUCUUGGUGGAGGUGCAGAUGGCCAACAGAACGAAAUGCCUCAUGUGCCUCUGUUUGCAAAACCACUGAGUCACACAAUGUGAUUCACAAAUGACUGACUAUGAUUUCUUCUUUGCCAAAGGAAACAUCUAGACUAAAAAACAAAGAGAUACAGCAUCUGUUCAUCUCAUGGUCUGCCUGUUGAAAUACUUGAACACAUCUAUUAGAAUAACAAACAUUUUAUAUCUGACCCAUGUGACCUGAGAUUGGCUUUUCAGUCUCAUUUCAGCUGACCUAACUGAACACAUUAUAGACUAUACAGUAAGCCACUUUGAGUGUAGGCCUCCACCAGCACCAUGUGGUUUUGAAGAUAUCCACAAAUCAACUUUUGUCCAAACGAUAAUAAUUCAUUGUGUUUCAUUAUCUUCUUUUUUUAAGACAGAGAGAGAUAGAUAAAGUAUGUGCAAUUUCAAGCCACUUAAAGCCGCCCUUAUUAAUAUUUUUACAUUAAUGAUAGCCUGAAAUGACAUUUCAGUCAUUUGACCUGCUCAUAGAAGCAAACCCACAGAGAAGCAUCAGCCAAGCUUUCAUGGUUUUGAUUUUAUGGCCUGAAAUGUUACUGUUUUGCUUCAGUCUCUAUGCUGUCAUCGACUUUGUUAUCAGCAAAAAAGUAGUAAUAAACCCACUGUAUGCUACCUGCCCAGCACCAAAUUGCACAGAGGUAGUGAAUUUAGUGGACCAUUUAUCAGCUAAAGAGACAAAUACUUCCUCAGGAGAUGGCAGAGACCAAAGCAGCUAAAAUGAGAGUAAUUCUGGAUUCACCCUCAUAACAUGACAAAAAACACUAAAUGAAUGCAAAUGUUGCUUUUGUUUGCUGACCUAUUCACCAUGUAUCAACUUUGCAAGACAUAUCUCAAUAUUGUAUUUAUA
Molecule: long non-coding RNA, 1462 nt
Organism: Thunnus maccoyii (southern bluefin tuna)
Lineage: Eukaryota; Metazoa; Chordata; Actinopteri; Scombriformes; Scombridae
Exons: 3
Source: RefSeq, a predicted model, not a curated record